UAAAAUAUGAUACAGGUGAAUUUAUUUGCAAAACAGAAGCAGACUCACAGACAUAGAAAACAAAGGAGAAAGGGAGGGGAUAAAUUCGGAAUUUGGGGAUAACAGAUACUCAUACAUAUAAAAUAGAUAAGCAAUAGGACCUAUUGUAUAGCACAGAGAACUAUAUUCAAUAUACUGUAAUAACCUACAAUGGAAAGCAGUCCAAAAAAGAAUAUAUGUUACAGAAUCACUUUGUCAUACUCCUGAAACAAGCACAACAUUGUAAAUCAACUAUACUUCAGUUUUUUAAAAACACAGAUUCCUGAGCUCCUUCAUUGAGCUAUUUAAUCCGCAUUUCUCGGGGUGGCCUGGAACUCUGCAUUUUAAACAGUGCACAGGGUUAUCCUCAGGGACGCCGAGGUUUAAGAACCAUCGAUGCCAAAAAAAAAGGAGAGUGAAAGCAAAACAUAGUCAAGGGCGUCAAACAGGCUCCCCCUCCAAGAGCUAAUUUAGAGGUUUAACUCCGAAGAGCUUUCUUUGUAUGGCAAAUCCAGAGGGUCCUUCUCAUUUGUACAUUUCCUUCCCUCCCUCAUUCAUUUCUUCCCAGAGUUACUUUUUUUCAAACUUCCGAGCUCUUCACAACGACUGAUCAAUGAACUUACACAUGAAAGACACACUUAAACUCUUCUCAUCUCCUUUCAUCCCCUCCACGGCAAAUGCCCUUUCAUCUUCUCAGACAUUCCAAAAUGUGGCAAAAAAGAUGGCUCUUGCAACAGACGCAAUUCUUUCUAGGUCUCUAGUUUGCAGGUCCCCCUAACAAUCUGCGGCAAUUUCCCAACCAGCUGUUGGUGUCCUAGGGCCCGGUGCUUUGUCUCCGUUUUCUUGAGCUAUCAAAUCAUCCUAUAAAGGGGAUUACCUGAGGGCUGUUGUUUCCCAGGUUUGUAUUUAGCGGCCGGUUUGUUGUUUUGUUCUUGUUUUUGUUUUCUUAAGAUGCUUCAUUGGAUGGAAAGGGUGCUUAAAAAAUUGCCGUGGCCCCGAACAGUGAGGCUCAGGCCAAGUGGCAGAAGGUGCUUCCAGUAAUGGGCGCUUCCCUUUCUUCCCAAUUAAUAGCCUCAAACCUAAGCCUGGAUCUGUUAAAAUAGAGCUUGAUUUUUUUCAGGUGUUUGUGAAGGUUUGCAUAGACUCU
RNAcentral lists this long non-coding RNA (1165 nucleotides) under Capra hircus (goat). RNAcentral describes it as "lncRNA (ENSCHIG00010017359.1)". Lineage: Eukaryota; Metazoa; Chordata; Mammalia; Artiodactyla; Bovidae. The record is from RNAcentral.